GGGGGCGACCGGCUUCGACGGGACGAACCGAUGCUCAGGGAAGCAUACCGAGGUCUACUGCCUCGUUAAACAGGUAGGCAAACACAGUCGGCAACGACUACAACUACGCACUAGCCGCUUAAUAACCGGUUAGCGUCCUUCCUGCCCACUCCUGCGGGGCUUGCGGGACGACCACUAGCAGGAUGGCUUUUGGGGCUCGGUCCGAAGGACCUGAAAGCGAGACCGAAACGGGCUGGCGAAGCGAAACCCUGCCGAUAAGGUUUCGACGAGCGAGAUUUGAUUAUCGGCUAAGUAUGUAGAUGCCCGGGCUAGGCGCUUCCGGACGUGGGUUCGAUUCCCACCGCCUC
Molecule: transfer-messenger RNA, 347 nt
Filed under: Deltaproteobacteria bacterium
Lineage: Bacteria; Pseudomonadati; Myxococcota; Myxococcia
Description: partial transfer-messenger RNA
Rfam family: transfer-messenger RNA
About the family: Bacterial tmRNA, also known as 10Sa RNA or SsrA, is named for its dual tRNA and mRNA-like properties. Its role is to liberate the mRNA from a stalled ribosome.
Source: RNAcentral